AUUGAACGCUGGCGGCAUGCCUUACACAUGCAAGUCGAACGGCAGCACGGGGGCAACCCUGGUGGCGAGUGGCGAACGGGUGAGUAACACAUCGGAACGUACCCUAGCGUGGGGGAUAACCAGUCGAAAGAUUGGCUAAUACCGCAUGCGCUCGUAAGAGCAAAGCAGGGGACCGGAAACGGCCUUGUGCGCUAGGAGCGGCCGAUGUCCGAUUAGCUAGUUGGUGGGGUAAAGGCCCACCAAGGCAACGAUCGGUAGCUGGUCUGAGAG
This 270-nucleotide ribosomal RNA is filed under the name uncultured bacterium. Its description in RNAcentral is "partial 16S ribosomal RNA". It matches the Rfam family "Bacterial small subunit ribosomal RNA", at positions 30 to 298 of the family's 1533-position model. The record is from RNAcentral.